RNAcentral lists this ribosomal RNA (253 nucleotides) under uncultured bacterium. RNAcentral's name for it is "partial 16S ribosomal RNA". It matches the Rfam family "Bacterial small subunit ribosomal RNA", at positions 524 to 776 of the family's 1533-position model. The record is from RNAcentral.
UACGUAGGGUGCGAGCGUUGUCCGGAAUUAUUGGGCGUAAAGGGCUCGUAGGCGGUUCGUCGCGUCGGGAGUGAAAACACCGGGCUUAACUCGGUGCUUGCUUUCGAUACGGGCAGACUAGAGGUAUGCAGGGGAGAACGGAAUUCCUGGUGUAGCGGUGAAAUGCGCAGAUAUCAGGAGGAACACCGGUGGCGAAGGCGGGUCUCUGGGCCGAUACUGACGCUGAGGAGCGAAAGCGUGGGGAGCGAACAGG